RNAcentral lists this ribosomal RNA (738 nucleotides) under Proteus mirabilis. Its description in RNAcentral is "bacterial SSU rRNA". It matches the Rfam family "Bacterial small subunit ribosomal RNA", at positions 39 to 764 of the family's 1533-position model. Lineage: Bacteria; Pseudomonadati; Pseudomonadota; Gammaproteobacteria; Enterobacterales; Morganellaceae. The record is from RNAcentral.
GCGGCAGGCCUAACACAUGCAAGUCGAGCGGUAACAGGAGAAAGCUUGCUUUCUUGCUGACGAGCGGCGGACGGGUGAGUAAUGUAUGGGGAUCUGCCCGAUAGAGGGGGAUAACUACUGGAAACGGUGGCUAAUACCGCAUAAUGUCUACGGACCAAAGCAGGGGCUCUUCGGACCUUGCACUAUCGGAUGAACCCAUAUGGGAUUAGCUAGUAGGUGGGGUAAAGGCUCACCUAGGCGACGAUCUCUAGCUGGUCUGAGAGGAUGAUCAGCCACACUGGGACUGAGACACGGCCCAGACUCCUACGGGAGGCAGCAGUGGGGAAUAUUGCACAAUGGGCGCAAGCCUGAUGCAGCCAUGCCGCGUGUAUGAAGAAGGCCUUAGGGUUGUAAAGUACUUUCAGCGGGGAGGAAGGUGAUAAGGUUAAUACCCUUAUCAAUUGACGUUACCCGCAGAAGAAGCACCGGCUAACUCCGUGCCAGCAGCCCGCGGUAAUACGGAGGGUGCAAGCGUUAAUCGGAAUUACUGGGCGUAAAGCGCACGCAGGCGGUCAAUUAAGUCAGAUGUGAAAGCCCCGAGCUUAACUUGGGAAUUGCAUCUGAAACUGGUUGGCUAGAGUCUUGUAGAGGGGGGUAGAAUUCCAUGUGUAGCGGUGAAAUGCGUAGAGAUGUGGAGGAAUACCGGUGGCGAAGGCGGCCCCCUGGACAAAGUACUGACGCUCAGGUGCGAAAGCGGGG